Molecule: transfer RNA, 779 nt
Filed under: Bradyrhizobium sp. 09LoS40_6
Lineage: Bacteria; Pseudomonadati; Pseudomonadota; Alphaproteobacteria; Hyphomicrobiales; Nitrobacteraceae
Description: 16S-23S ribosomal RNA intergenic spacer
Rfam family: tRNA (bases 189-262)
Source: RNAcentral
CUAAGGAUGGUUCUUCAGAAGCUUGCUUCUAUCGAACCGUUUUAGAAACAUCAGUGGCCAACGGUCGUCAGGAUCGUUGAGCUGCAUUGGCGGGAUUUCGCCGUCUUCGUUUCUCUUUCUUCGCGGACGAACACGCGCUGGGGCUGCAACCUUGCAGAAUCCCUGGUCCUUGACUGGAUAUGCGUUAGGGGCUUGUAGCUCAGUUGGUUAGAGCGCGCGCUUGAUAAGCGUGAGGUCGGAAGUUCAAGUCUUCCCAGGCCCACCACACUCAUCGAGUGAGCAUUCGUCUUCUGGUUACGGGGCCAUAGCUCAGCUGGGAGAGCGCGUGCUUUGCAAGCAUGAGGUCGUCGGUUCGAUCCCGUCUGGCUCCACCAGAUGGUUUGAUCACCGGCUGCUCAUACCGUCGUCCGCGAAACAUCACUUCGCACUUACUAGUCCGGAUGGACAGUAAGCUGCGUGAUUUCUGACAUCGUAAAGAGGAGAUCGAUCCGAGUUGGAUCGGGCAACAAGUAAUUGUUGCGCGAUACUUCAUUAUCUCCGGAUCAUUUCGGCGCUCGUGCGUCUUCCAUUGUAGCUCACAACGCUGCUUUGAAAGACAAGCGAGUUGUAAAUGAUCCUUUUAGCGAAGCUUGACCGCCUCGCUAUCGGAACGAUCUUACGAAGCAAGCUGGUCUUUCUAAUCAUUGUCCGGCUGCAGAUAGCGUUCAUCGAGGGCGCGUGCCGCAAGGUAGUUCUGCAGACAACAUUCUGCCGAGUGUGUGGACAUUGAUAAUGAGAGC